Molecule: ribosomal RNA, 301 nt
Filed under: uncultured bacterium
Lineage: Bacteria
Description: partial 16S ribosomal RNA
Rfam family: Bacterial small subunit ribosomal RNA
Source: RNAcentral
CAGCAGCCGCGGUAAUACGUAGGUGGCAAGCGUUGUCCGGAAUUAUUGGGCGUAAAGGGCUCGCAGGCGGUUUCUUAAGUCUGAUGUGAAAGCCCCCGGCUCAACCGGGGAGGGUCAUUGGAAACUGGGAAACUUGAGUGCAGAAGAGGAGAGUGGAAUUCCACGCGUAGCGGUGAAAUGCGUAGAGAUGUGGAGGAACACCAGUGGCGAAGGCGACUCUCUGGUCUGUAACUGACGCUGAGGAGCGAAAGCGUGGGGAGCGAACAGGAUUAGAUACCCCAGUAGUCCCUGUCUCUUAUAC